RNAcentral lists this ribosomal RNA (364 nucleotides) under uncultured bacterium. Its description in RNAcentral is "bacterial SSU rRNA". It matches the Rfam family "Bacterial small subunit ribosomal RNA", at positions 28 to 395 of the family's 1533-position model. The record is from RNAcentral.
GACGAACGCCGGCGGCGUGCUUAACACAUGCAAGUCGAGCGGUAAGGCCCUUUCGGGGGUACACGAGCGGCGAACGGGUGAGUAACACGUGGGUGACCUGCCCUCAGCUCUGGGAUAAGCCUGGGAAACCGGGUCUAAUACUGGAUAUGACUCCAUGACGCAUGUUGUGGGGUGAAAGCCUUGUGCGGCUGAGGAUGGGCCCGNGGCCUAUCAGCUUGUUGGUGGGGUGAUGGCCUACCAAGGCGACGACGGGUAGCCGGCCUGAGAGGCGACCGGCCACACUGGGACUGAGACACGGCCCAGACUCCUACGGGAGGCAGCAGUGGGGAAUCUUGCGCAAUGGGCGAAAGCCUGACGCAGCGAC